ACUCCUACGGGAGGCAGCAGUGGGGAAUAUUGGACAAUGGGGGGAACCCGUGAUCCAGCCAUGCCGCGUGUGUGAAGAAGGCCUUAUGGUUGUAAAGCACUUUAAGCGAGGAGGAGGCUACUGAGACUAAUACUCUUGGAUAGUGGACGUUACUCGCAGAAUAAGCACCGGCUAACUCUGUGCCAGCAGCCGCGGUAAUACAGAGGGUGCGAGCGUUAAUCGGAUUUACUGGGCGUAAAGCGUGCGUAGGCGGCUUUUAAGUCGGAUGUGAAAUCCCCGAGCUUAACUUGGGAAUUGCAUUCGAUACUGGGAAGCUAGAGUAUGGGAGAGGAUGGUAGAAUUCCAGGUGUAGCGGUGAAAUGCGUAGAGAUCUGGAGGAAUACCGAUGGCGAAGGCAGCCAUCUGGCCUAAUACUGACGCUGAGGUACGAAAGCAUGGGAGCAAACAGGAUUAGAUACCCCUGGUAGGAUAGCG
RNAcentral lists this ribosomal RNA (474 nucleotides) under uncultured bacterium. RNAcentral describes it as "bacterial SSU rRNA". It matches the Rfam family "Bacterial small subunit ribosomal RNA", at positions 335 to 801 of the family's 1533-position model. The record is from RNAcentral.